This 253-nucleotide ribosomal RNA is filed under the name uncultured bacterium. RNAcentral describes it as "partial 16S ribosomal RNA". It matches the Rfam family "Bacterial small subunit ribosomal RNA", at positions 524 to 776 of the family's 1533-position model. The record is from RNAcentral.
UACGUAGGGUCCGAGCGUUGUCCGGAAUUAUUGGGCGUAAAGAGCUCGUAGGCGGUUUGUCGCGUCUGCUGUGAAAUCCCGAGGCUCAACCUCGGGCCUGCAGUGGGUACGGGCAGACUUGAGUGCGGUAGGGGAGAAUGGAAUUCCUGGUGUAGCGGUGGAAUGCGCAGAUAUCAGGAGGAACACCGAUGGCGAAGGCAGUGCUCUGGGCCGUAACUGACGCUGAGGAGCGAAAGCGUGGGGAGAGAACAGG